GACGAACGCUGGCGGCGCGCUUAACACAUGCAAGUCGAACGGAAAGGCCUGCUUUCCCUUGUGGAUUGCGGGUACUCGAGUGGCGAACGGGUGAGUAACACGUGAGUGAUCUGCCCCCAACUUGGGUAUAAGCCUGGGAAACUGGGUCUAAUUCCCGAUAGGACUGCAGGGUGGUGCCUGUGGUGGAAAACGAUUUUCUAGUGGUUGGGGAUGAGCUCGCGGCCUAUCAGCUUGUUGGUGGGGUAAUGGCCUACCAAGGCGGCGACGGGUAGCCGGCCUGAGAGGGUGGACGGCCACAUUGGGACUGAGAUACGGCCCUGACUCCUACGGGAGGCAGCAGUGGGGAAUAUUGCACAAUGGGCGGAAGCCUGAUGCAGCGACGCCGCGUGGGGGAUGACGGCCUUCGGGUUGUAAACUCCUUUCGACCGCGAGGAAGCCACCUGGUUGGAAGGGUGGUGACGGUAGUGGUAGAAGAAGCACCGGCUAACUACGU
RNAcentral lists this ribosomal RNA (493 nucleotides) under uncultured bacterium. RNAcentral describes it as "partial 16S ribosomal RNA". It matches the Rfam family "Bacterial small subunit ribosomal RNA", at positions 28 to 506 of the family's 1533-position model. The record is from RNAcentral.